AAGUCGUAACAAGGUUUGUCCCGCUCCGGGCAGCAUCCGUGUGAAUUCAUUCCGGCACCUGAUUCACCUGCUUGAAGCCUUCAUCGCAGCGACUGAAAAGAACUGCUCGAGGGGUCUGCAUGUAGCAGGCAACACCGUUCAAGAGCCUGGAAUUGUCGACGACCUCGGUCGUUGCACAUACCAGCUGCCGGCGGCGCCUUCGGGGGGCGGUCGCCGGUUCACAGAUCAAUCGACGGUGGUCAUUGUUUGACCGGAAGAGUUGGGGCGACUUCGUCUGGCAGACGCUGAUUGAGAUAUGAUCGGUCCGCGCCGAAACGGCGCCGGAACCAACGUUCCGUAGGUGAACCUGCGGAAGGAUCAUU
This 362-nucleotide ribosomal RNA is filed under the name Polychidium muscicola. RNAcentral describes it as "partial 18S ribosomal RNA". Lineage: Eukaryota; Fungi; Ascomycota; Lecanoromycetes; Peltigerales; Massalongiaceae. The record is from RNAcentral.